Molecule: long non-coding RNA, 1645 nt
Filed under: Marmota monax (woodchuck)
Lineage: Eukaryota; Metazoa; Chordata; Mammalia; Rodentia; Sciuridae
Source: RNAcentral
CUUCAUUUCAGUUUACAAUCAAGGAAAAUUUGUCAUUCUUUUGGUAGAAAUCAAGAUUCCAAACAUUGAUAAUUUUUUUAUGUGUGUGUGUUUUUCUGAGUUAUUGUGCUUGCCUCUUGUCAUUUACAAUUCUGGAUAUAUGGCAGAUUCCAGAAAAUUAUAGAUUUAGUUUUGGAAAAUUGCCCUUAGUUUCUUUUGAUAGAGGGGUGAGGCAAACUUGAGGUACAAGUUUUAGUGAUCACCAUACUUUACCUGCCCUUUCAAACUGAGGAAUUCAGGAAUUGUACAUGACGCUGUCUGUAGCAGACUUUUUGUUCUAAACCUCAUGCCAUUAAAAUUCAGAACAAUCAUGUCAUCUCCAAAGAGAAAUGAUUUAUAUCUCUUGUUUCUUCAUUUGCUUAGAUAACCAUGAUUUGGACAGGCUAUGUCAUUAUACUGUGCAAUUUGUGGGUUGUCUCAAAAACUGCCUUUUCAUAAUGUACAAAGUACCUGUUGUAAAUGAAUUCAACAUGAAGCAACUCUGAUUUUUCUACAAAGGACAUAAUGUGAUCAGAUAGUGUAUUAUAGAUUUUUUAACACACCCUUCACUGAUUUAUAUUGCAUUUAACAAUUUAAAUUAUAUAAUUCCAUCUAUGGCCAACUCAUUAGUGCUCUUUGAGUAGGAAAGGUGCUCACAUUUAUUUUCUACUCUCUGACUUUUUCACUAUUCAGAAGGUAGAUUGAAGAAUAUAUACUUGGUUAAUGUGUAUAUUGCUGAGAGUCCUGGCCUACCGAUAUUAAGAACCUCUUGUCAUGCAGUCAGGAACUAGGAGUAUCAGGAAUUAUUAUUUUUAAAGUCUCUGGGCAUCUGAAGUGGUGCCUGCUACCUUUGUAGCAUGGUGACAACUGUACAUAUUCACUGAACACCAGAAUCUUUGUCAGGCUGACACUUGUGGCUUGUUAGGUGAGAUUUAUUAUUUCAGAUUCAACAAAUUACAGUUUGAGCGGUGUACGGUGAUUUUUGUCAUAUUCUUUCCCCUCGUCUUUUCAUAAUGCACAAGAUACAGGUCAAUGAUAAUGAUAAUUGAAAGGAACAGAGAAAGAACAAACAAAAAUGGCCCUUGUUGGCAGAACAGAGUAUACAGGACUGUUAAGACAAAUGGGGGGCCGGGUCGAAGCGCUCUACUUUGUAUCCUUAGUGUGACUUUGAAUGAACCUAAAAACUCAUGUGAAACAAAAGACCACUUAGAGUAACAUUUCUAAUGACAGCAGAUGUCUGAUAUUCUUGAGCAUGGUCAUCCAAUUAAAAGCUGAUGAUCCCCAGAGCAAAACCCAACCCAUUAAUAAGUUCCUGUUAAGGGGCAGGAUUGGUUGUGUGAGUUGAUGUGGUUACAUAAUGCAGCGUAGACCCAUGUUUUGUAUUGUUUUCCCCCCUCAGGGUGACAGCUACAAAUAAGGCUUAAUGGAAAUUCUUUGCUUUCUUAAUAAGGACCCUAAAUACUGAUAAAAAUUACAUAAAGUCUCAAAAAAGGUGACAGGUAUUAUUUUUACCUGAAAUAAGGAAAGGCCAAGGGUAUGAUGGGUUUGAGUUUUUGAGGUCUUUUAAACCACUAAAGGGAGGUAUCCAUAGCAAAUUGUUUUUCUUUUUUGCUCUUUUUAGUUAUAU